GCUGACUUUUACAGACACAUCUUCGAACUAUUAAGCUAAGUAAUAUCCAAACUAUUUUUUAUUGUUGUGGAAGCAUGUGGUGGAUGCUGUGGUAUGCCUUCUGCGUUGCCCCUUCAGGUCUGAAGCGUGCAUUUCCACACCUGCGAGAAGUAUUGGCUGUAGACAUUUCAUGGCUGAGUACCACUUUGGAGAUUGCUCUAGAAUAAAGGGAGCUGCUUUGCUCAAGGUUAUACCCUCUUACUGGAGUUAGCUCACAUCAAAGAACUGGUCUAUGCAGAUGUACGAAGACCUGGCCUUUUUGUCUCAAUUCUGGAAAACUUGGAAGAGCCAUUCUAGCUCCUGGGCUCUUGAAGGACUGGCUAAGACCUGUUAGAAUUGCACACUGACGUUCAACUUCCCCCUCUGUCCAAUUCUUAUUUCUCAUUCUUUUAUAAGUAUUGUUCCAUCUUAGAAUCUGUUUCCUAGGGAACCCAAUUUAAACACCAGUUAGAAUGUCUGAGGAAGCAGAAUCUAAAAUGCAACUUUGAAGCUGGAUCCCUUGCUGGCUGCAGGGAAAUGAGAACCCUGCCACUGGUAUUAGGUGGGGAAAUGAUAGCCCCUAGCAUGCUAUAGCAGUGCAGUUGUUAGAACUUUUACAAGUUCUGAGCUGGAAUAGGACACGAGUGGAAGAUGUGCUGUUCUUGACGUCCUUACUUCUGUCCUCAGAAUCAUAUCUUCGCAUCUGAAAGAAGGCAACAGCAUUGAGCAACAAUCUGGGACUCUAUUUGAUAUCUUCCCUUGAGAAGUGUUAAAUGUUGCCAUAAUCUUGACAGUUCAAAAGUUAGUCAUGUGGUUGAUAUUUUACCAAUGAGAUGAAUGUGACUGUAAUAUGGGCAAAUCCCACCUACCAUAAAAGCUGGCAAUACUUGCCUAAUAUUGAAGGAAGGAGACAUUUAGAGCAAGCCAGGAAGCUGGAACACCGGAUCAGGAACAGACACUUCUCCGCAAGUUUAGAGUUUGGUAUUUCUCAAGUCCUGGCCUGAGGGAUGUUUACUCUCAGGUUAUACAAAGUCCCAGCUUGGGUUCUGGAAAAAUUGAACUGACAACUUUGCCUGAAAGAAGUUUCUUGCUAACUCCUAGGUACAUCUUGAUUUUAUUAGACCAUGGCUAUUAUUGUGAGGUUUAUUCAGAGCAAUGAAGAUGUCACUCACCGUGUCAAAUUCAUAGGUAUGGUGGCCUUUAUUACCUGGCAACAUGCAUUUUGUUAUACAUCAAAUCCAUGUAGGGCCAUAUUAUCUGGAUCUCAGAUGUUACUGAGAAAUGUUGUAAGGUAAAUAGAUUUUUUGGGGAAUAUCUUGGACUUAGCACACUUUACUUAAUAGAAAUAUAUUUAUUGUCUUCACUUUUAAGUUACUCUGCCACUUUGCCAUUCAACCUCUAUUGGCUCUUUAUUAACUUCAAUUAGAUUUUUCCUUCUCUUUUCCUUUAGAGAUAAAAUUAAAUAAAAAUAAAAACUUCUAAAGCAAACUCUAUUCCUUUAUAAAUACUGUCUAAACGUGCCAGUGGUGUGUCCAAUUUUAGACACAAGAGCUUAAAGUUGAAUGCAAAUUUUGAUUUUCUUUAUAAAUGAGAUGAUGAAAAUCUAUUGUGAAAAGGUUAUGAGAAAAAAGCUUAUCUUGUAAUUGCAGCCAAGAUCCAAGCCAUUAUUUAAGACGUGAAGCAUUUGGCAACAAAGAGAUUGUUGUCAUUAAAAAGGAAGCCCAACGCAUUAUUCUUGGGCUGAGAAAAAAUAAUUUAGCUGUCAUUGUUAUUUAAGGAGUAACACCGGAAGAUGGGAGACAUUAAAAUAAGCAGCUUUACCUCAAGAAGUGUAAUAUCUUCUUUUCCCUCUAAGAUGCAGAGGUAGUUAAUAAACAUUUGAUGAUUGAUUUAAACAUAUUAGAGAGAGAUUCACUUGUUAGUAUUUAUCAUCUAGCUAAAUUGUAUUUUUUUAAUGUAUACAACUGAGAUGAAGCCAAUAGAACUUUACCACAGUGGUUGUAAAGAGAUAAGAAAUUAUUAUUUCUCAUUAUACCAUCAGCAGACUGAGGUCUGUAACUUGAUACUUAUGCAAAAGAUUACUAAAUUGGUAGCUAUUCUUAUAAAAUAUUCACUUUAGGAAAGAAGGUGAGAAUGAGGCCACUGACGUCAUCUUGGCUUGGUUUACUUAAGCCUGGGCAAAGAGGGAAAAGGGCACUGGAGAUUU
This 2224-nucleotide long non-coding RNA is filed under the name Homo sapiens (human). Its description in RNAcentral is "HSALNT0313136". Lineage: Eukaryota; Metazoa; Chordata; Mammalia; Primates; Hominidae. The record is from RNAcentral.